RNAcentral lists this unclassified non-coding RNA (336 nucleotides) under soil metagenome. Its description in RNAcentral is "partial contains 5.8S ribosomal RNA, internal transcribed spacer 2, and large subunit ribosomal RNA". The stretch from base 1 to 120 matches the Rfam family "5.8S ribosomal RNA", at positions 35 to 154 of the family's 154-position model. The record is from RNAcentral.
GAUGAAGAACGUAGCGAAAUGCGAUAAGUAGUGUGAAUUGCAGAAUUCAGUGAAUCAUCGAAUCUUUGAACGCACAUUGCGCCCCUUGGUAUUCCAUGGGGCAUGCCUGUUCGAGCGUCAUUUGUACCUUCAAGCUUUGCUUGGUGUUGGGUGUUUGUCUCGCCUUUGCGUGUAGACUCGCCUUAAAAUAAUUGGCAGCCGGCGUAUUGAUUUCGGAGCGCAGUACAUCUCGCGCUUUGCACUCAUAACGACAGCGUCCAAAAGUACAUUUUACACUCUUGACCUCGGAUCAGGUAGGGAUACCCGCUGAACGUAAGCAUAUCAAUAAGCGGAGGA